This 71-nucleotide transfer RNA is filed under the name Anguilla anguilla (European eel). RNAcentral describes it as "tRNA-Asp". Lineage: Eukaryota; Metazoa; Chordata; Actinopteri; Anguilliformes; Anguillidae. The record is from RNAcentral.
UCCUCGUUAGUAUAGUGGCCAGUAUCCCCCGCCUGUCACGCGGAGACGGGGUUCCAUUCCCUGGCGGGGAG